AGAGUUUGAUCCUGGCUCAGGACGAACGCUGGCGGCACGCUUAACACAUGCAAGUCGAACGGAGAACAUUGAGCUUGCUUAAUGUUCUUAGUGGCGGACGGGUGAGUAACACGUGAGUAACCUGCCUCUGAGAGUGGGAUAGCUUCUGGAAACGGAUGGUAAUACCGCAUAACAUCAUGGAUUCGCAUGUUUCUAUGAUCAAAGAUUUAUCGCUCAGAGAUGGACUCGCGUCUGAUUAGAUAGUUGGUGAGGUAACGGCCCACCAAGUCGACGAUCAGUAGCCGGACUGAGAGGUUGACCGGCCACAUUGGGACUGAGACACGGCCCAGACUCCUACGGGAGGCAGCAGUGGGGAAUAUUGCACAAUGGGGGAAACCCUGAUGCAGCGAUGCCGCGUGGAGGAAGAAGGUUUUCGGAUUGUAAACUCCUGUCGAAGAGGACGAUAAUGACGGUACUCUUUAAGAAAGCUCCGGCUAACUACGUGCCAGCAGCCGCGGUAAUACGUAGGGAGCGAGCGUUGUCCGGAAUUACUGGGCGUAAAGGGAGCGUAGGCGGGAUGGCAAGUCAGAUGUGAAAACUAUGGGCUCAACCCAUAGACUGCAUUUGAAACUGUUGUUCUUGAGUGAGGUAGAGGUAAGCGGAAUUCCUGGUGUAGCGGUGAAAUGCGUAGAGAUCAGGGGGAACAUCGGUGGCGAAGGCGGCUUACUGGGCCUUUACUGACGCUGAGGCUCGAAAGCGUGGGGAGCAAACAGGAUUAGAUACCCUGGUAGUCCACGCCGUAAACGAUGAUUACUAGGUGUGGGGGGACUGACCCCUUCCGUGCCGCAGUUAACACAAUAAGUAAUCCACCUGGGGAGUACGGCCGCAAGGCUGAAACUCAAAGGAAUUGACGGGGGCCCGCACAAGCAGUGGAGUAUGUGGUUUAAUUCGAAGCAACGCGAAGAACCUUACCAGGUCUUGACAUCGAGUGACGAACUUAGAGAUAAGUUCUUCCUUCGGGACACGAAGACAGGUGGUGCAUGGUUGUCGUCAGCUCGUGCCGUGAGGUGUCGGCUUAAGUGCCAUAACGAGCGCAACCCUUGUUGUCAGUUACUAACAGGUUUCGCUGAGGACUCUGACAAGACUGCCAUCGUAAGAUGUGAGGAAGGUGGGGAUGACGUCAAAUCAGCACGGCCCUUACGUCCGGGGCUACACACGUGUUACAAUGGGGGGUACAGAGGGCCGCUACCACGCGAGUGGAUGCCAAUCCCAAAAACCUCUCUCAGUUCGGACUGGAGUCUGCAACCCGACUCCACGAAGCUGGAUUCGCUAGUAAUCGCGCAUCAGCCACGGCGCGGUGAAUACGUUCCCGGGCCUUGUACACACCGCCCGUCA
RNAcentral lists this ribosomal RNA (1374 nucleotides) under uncultured bacterium. RNAcentral's name for it is "bacterial SSU rRNA". It matches the Rfam family "Bacterial small subunit ribosomal RNA". The record is from RNAcentral.